Molecule: ribosomal RNA, 468 nt
Filed under: uncultured bacterium
Lineage: Bacteria
Description: partial 16S ribosomal RNA
Rfam family: Bacterial small subunit ribosomal RNA
Source: RNAcentral
GAUGAACGCUGGCGGCGUGCCUAACACAUGCAAGUCGAGCGAUUUACUUCGGUAAAGAGCGGCGGACGGGUGAGUAACGCGUGGGUAACCUGCCUCAUACACAUGGAUAACAUACCGAAAGGUAUGCUAAUACAAGAUGAUAUAAGAGAUUCGCAUGGAUUUCUUAUCAAAGCUCCGGCGGUAUGAGAUGGACCCGCGUCUGAUUAGCUAGUUGGUAAGGUGACGGCUUACCAAGGCGACGACCAGUAGCCGACCUGAGAGGGUGAUCGGCCACAUUGGAACUGAGACACGGUCCAAACUCCUACGGGAGGCAGCAGUGGGGGAUAUUGCACAAUGGGCGAAAGCCUGAUGCAGCAACGCCGCGUGAGCGAUGAAGGCCUUCGGGUCGUAAAGCUCUGUCCUCAAGGAAGAUAAUGACGGUACUUGAGGAGGAAGCCCCGGCUAACUACGUGCCAGCAGCCGCAGUAA